UACGUAGGUGGCAAGCGUUGUCCGGAUUUACUGGGCGUAAAGAGCGCGCAGGCGGUCGUUCAAGUCGCGUGUGAAAGCCCCCGGCUCAACUGGGGAGGGUCACGCGAUACUGAUCGACUCGAAGGCAGGAGAGGGAAGUGGAAUUCCCGGUGUAGUGGUGAAAUGCGCAGAUAUCAGGAGGAACACCAAUGGCGAAGGCAGCUCGCUGGGACGGUACUGACGCUGAGACGCGAAAGCGUGGGGAGCAAACAGG
RNAcentral lists this ribosomal RNA (253 nucleotides) under uncultured bacterium. RNAcentral's name for it is "partial 16S ribosomal RNA". It matches the Rfam family "Bacterial small subunit ribosomal RNA", at positions 524 to 776 of the family's 1533-position model. The record is from RNAcentral.